RNAcentral lists this long non-coding RNA (899 nucleotides) under Astyanax mexicanus (Mexican tetra). RNAcentral describes it as "lncRNA (ENSAMXG00005011699.1)". Lineage: Eukaryota; Metazoa; Chordata; Actinopteri; Characiformes; Acestrorhamphidae. The record is from RNAcentral.
AUUUGUCCAUGUUAUUUUGAGAAUGUCAUCUCAGUUUCAAGAAAUGAGCCGAACCAAUUGAGAAAAACUGUAAGAUAUCCUUUAUGCACACAUUAUAGUAAGCAUUAUUGGGUAAAAUAAAGUCAAUUAAUCAGACAAUUUCAUUGGCUUACAGAAAUAAUCGUUCAACGUGUUUCCACUUAGCCUAGAUCAUAUAAACAUGCAUAAAAGUUUGCACAGUCAGAGCACCUAGCAACCCCCCUGCAUGUCAAAAUACUGUUAUAAACACUGUGUAUCAUAAAAAUAGCUUAAUAUAUGAUAAUAAUAAAUUUUUGGCCUAUCACUUUAAGCACUAUAUUAACUUUUCAUAUAAAACUUGAGCUGAUAUUUCAUUUUCUAAAGUUUAUAAAACAGUAAUUUUCCUGAUCUUUGUUUUUAGACCAUCAUAACCAAACAGAAACAAAUCAGCAGCUGCGGAAUGAGAUACAACAUAAAGAUGAAGAGAUCAGACUUUGGAAAACUCUUUUUAUCCUGUCUGGCCUGAUAAUGUGCAUUAUGCUCAUUACUGUAAUCGGUUUCAUUAUAAGCCACUGCAGUGGGUCUCCAAACAACGGUUUACAGCAGAAUGAAGAGUCCGGCAUAAUAAAGAAGCUGUACACAGUAAUGGAACAGAACGGCCGCAGAAGUAGCACCUUCACUGUGGUGGAGUUUACUCAGCUUAGCUCUGUUCUGUAGGAUCAACCACACAUGUGGUCACUAUACACAUCAACUGCCAAACACACGGGAAACAGAGAAACACUGCCUCUUUUUACAAAAUUAAUUUAAAAAACUCCACAGACAUUAGUAUUGCGUUAUUGUGUGCUGCUGUUAACUCCCAAAAAAUAAGGCAGGAAUUUCUAAUAAAUUAUGUAUUAAGAACA